GUGCACAAGUCAACAUUGUUGCAACACUUUUCAAAAAAUAACAUUAAUUUAUCGAAAAAUGUCUUCCGACGGUGUUUCUCAACAAUAUCUAUUGUUUGAUGACCAUAAGCCUGAAGCUGCUCAGUAUUUUUUAAAAGACUCUGUGACAGUUGAUCAUGUUCCCAGUUGCGAAUUAAGCGCAACCACUCAAAGAGAAAUCUUUUCGUCAUUUGAUAUAUUUUUAUUGGUGGCUACAAAUAUGUUUGUAAUUUUAUUUAUAAUUUGUAUUUUUGUUUGGUUUAUUUAGCCACUUGUGUAUUAAAAAUAAUCUGUGAUUUUUUUUUUUUGCAUUUUAUAAAAGAAUCUUAUAAAAAUGAAAUAGUUUGUGAAAUAUCUACAAUAAAAUAAAAUUUAAUCUCGAUGUAAUGUUUGUGCUCAAAGAAAUUCUUUUACCUUAUAACAAUUAAAGAGUUUGUGAAAUAAAAUUUAAGGUUUUUUAUAAAUAA
Long non-coding RNA from Calliphora vicina (urban bluebottle blowfly), 485 nucleotides. RefSeq lists it as uncharacterized. NCBI's taxonomy places the organism in Eukaryota, Metazoa, Arthropoda, Insecta, Diptera, Calliphoridae. The record is from RefSeq and is a predicted model, not a curated record. The transcript is spliced from 2 exons.